Molecule: long non-coding RNA, 1103 nt
Organism: Neopsephotus bourkii (Bourke's parrot)
Lineage: Eukaryota; Metazoa; Chordata; Aves; Psittaciformes; Psittacidae
Exons: 3
Source: RefSeq, a predicted model, not a curated record
UUGGUAGUGCAAUGCAGGUCCUUAACAGUUAGCAGCUCGGCAGUUGACAGCAAGACACUGCUAAUGGAACAGCACCUUUCUGCUGUAAAUACUUUCUUAUUUUGCUGUAAGUAAAAAAGGUUCUGCAUGCCUUCCAGAAGACAUUUUCUCUUUUUAAUUUCAGCCUGUUUGCAUGAUGUAUCUCACAGGGUUUGCAGUCAGGUUGCUCCUGCUUACUAGUCUUCAGGCUCUGCAGAAAGGACUUUCUUAGUAACAGCAAAACCGAGGCUGCAAAUGAACCUGGGUUUGGAGGCAGUAUAGCCUGAGCAUUAAAUAGCAUCCAAACCCCGAUGUGAAGAAGAUGCUGGCUGGAGAAACGGCAGCACAUGGAGCCUUUCAUCAAAGGGAUAUCAAAGCAUUCUGCAGCUGAACCUGGGAGGGAUAUGAAUAUGCUUAUUUUGACAGUUGUGCAGCACUGAGGCAGGCAGCCAACUGAUGAUUCUCCAGUACUUCGAUUCUGUGGCGUGUGACUGUGGGGAGGGAGAGCUGUCCCGUCACGGCAGCACAGUGGCACGUUUGACGUCUCCUGUUAAAGUGAGUGUGAAAUAAGAAGUAACACUAAAGAGAUUUUAACAGAUGUUUUAAGACAGCUGUAAAGAAACUACAAGGCAGAGAUGCCUUGCUGUCGUCUUGUUUAGCGUUCAUUGUAUUCCUAUCGCAGUACAUAGAGAUACUUCACUAGAUACGUAUGAAGCAGCAUAACCUUGCAGUGGCUCGUUUAAACUCAAGUACAGACAGCAACCCAGCCCUGCUUGGGUUUCAAUUGAGUUUCUUACCCACAGCAAAUUGUUCCUCCAGCUCUGUAGUAGCGCCUUCCUGUAAAACACUGCUGCAGCCUUAUCAAGAAAAUAUGCUAAAAUAGGAGUAGACCAUCAGAGAGCAAACCCAAACCGGCACACACAGCCCCUCUGAGGUGGGAGGGGCAGCGCUGGUUCAGCACUAAAAGCCAUUGUGUUGAAUAGUUUAAAAGUUUAUUUUAUGCUUUACAAGCACUUCUUGCCCAUUAGAAAUCGGUAUCAUCUGUGGAUCCUUUCCCAUCCAGGUCAGCAGUUUGGAUCCUGCCU